UACAGAGGUCUCAAGCGUUGUUCGGAUUCAUUGGGCGUAAAGGGUGCGUAGGCGGCGUGGUAAGUUGAGUGUGAAAUCCUAGGGCUUAACCUUAGAACUGCACUCAAUACUGCCAUGCUAGAGGAAUGUAGAGGAGAGUGGAAUUCACGGUGUAGCAGUGAAAUGCGUAGAUAUCGUGAGGAAGACCAGUUGCGAAGGCGACUCUCUGGGCAUUUCCUGACGCUGAGGCACGAAGGCCAGGGGAGCAAACGGG
RNAcentral lists this ribosomal RNA (253 nucleotides) under uncultured bacterium. RNAcentral's name for it is "partial 16S ribosomal RNA". It matches the Rfam family "Bacterial small subunit ribosomal RNA", at positions 524 to 776 of the family's 1533-position model. The record is from RNAcentral.